GUGAAAUGAAGACCGAAGUGAAGUUACAUCAUAUGGUCCCUCACCACAUGGAUCGGAAAUCCUAUACUGCUUAUCUCCAUGAAAUGACGGAAGAAAGAAGGCGAAACAAUAUAACCCCACCUAGGAGAGAGGACCUGUUCAGGAAGGCCCAUACAAAUUCCUAAGGGGAGUUUUGUGACCCUCGAACGAGGGACCUUGCUGUAACUAUUUUUUUAUUUUUAUCCAUUUAAUCAUUUUUGGUGUGGUUUUGUGAUGGUCCAUUUUAAAUAAAUAUAUUAUUUGAAAUUGUUGUAGGCAAAGAUGAAAGCAUAUGUGGAUGAACAAGCAGAACAGGGCACCCAAGUCGAGCCCAUUGGUGCCUAUGAUGCAGUGGUGAUUUUGGGUAAAGAUCAUCCAUUACAUGUUUGUUGCUUAGGCUUCAGGGUGAACCCAAAGCGUGCUUUCGAAACUAAAGGGUCCAAAAGCACCACUAGUAGUACAGCCACCUCAUGCGAUUCGAAGUUACAGAAGGAAAACCAAAUGCUUCGAAGACAGGUGGGUGAUCUUCAAGAAAAAUAGCACGAUUGGAGUCCGUAAUGGAGCUGUUAGCGCACCAUCAAGGACUGGAUGCCUUGUUUGCCACUCGUUCGGUCCAGAUCCGAAUUCAUCCAGUU
Non-coding RNA from Nelumbo nucifera (sacred lotus), 653 nucleotides. The record is from RefSeq and is a predicted model, not a curated record. NCBI's taxonomy places the organism in Eukaryota, Viridiplantae, Streptophyta, Magnoliopsida, Proteales, Nelumbonaceae.